RNAcentral lists this ribosomal RNA (292 nucleotides) under uncultured bacterium. RNAcentral's name for it is "partial 16S ribosomal RNA". It matches the Rfam family "Bacterial small subunit ribosomal RNA", at positions 505 to 796 of the family's 1533-position model. The record is from RNAcentral.
GUGUCAGCCGCCGCGGUAAUACGUAGGGGGCAAGCGUUGUCCGGAUUUAUUGGGCGUAAAGCGCACGCAGGCGGUCUUUCAAGUUGCGAGUGACAGGUGGGGGCUUAACUCCCACAGGCCUUGGAAAACUGGAAGACUUGAGGGCUUGAGAGGGACGCGGAAUUCCAGGUGGAGCGGUGAAAUGCGUAGAGAUCUGGAAGAACACCAAAGGCGAAGGCAGCGUCCUGGCAAGCAACUGACGCUCAUGUGCGAAAGCUAGGGGAGCGAACGGGAUUAGAUACCCCCGUAGUCC